UGCCCCUUCCCAGAGGCCCUACAGGUCCUCCGAGGGGAUCAGCAUCCGUUUCUCCACAUUCCGGCUCCUCCUGCCGCCACCACCCAGGCUGCAGCGUGAGCCAGUGCCGGCCGUGUGCUCGCUCUGUGAGGCGUGACUGGACUCACCCUGACUGUGCACCUGACUGCUGAGGAGGGAGCCGUACUUCAUGUGUGUCCUUCAGCCACACAGAAGCUACCCAGAUGUGUGCCGGGCCAGGGGAAGUCUCAGCCACGGCUGCCUCAGGCUGGCCACCUCGUUCCCAGCAUCCCUGCUGGGUAUGACCCCCUCGCAAGCUCCCUGCCUGUGGCCUGGGAAAGCAGAGGACAGCC
Ochotona curzoniae (black-lipped pika) is the source of this 350-nucleotide long non-coding RNA. RefSeq lists it as uncharacterized. The transcript is spliced from 3 exons. NCBI's taxonomy places the organism in Eukaryota, Metazoa, Chordata, Mammalia, Lagomorpha, Ochotonidae. The record is from RefSeq and is a predicted model, not a curated record.